GAGAAAUUAAGCAGGAAGGAGAAGAAAAUGCUUAUGUCAUGCCUUGAUCUUUGCAAUAAUUAUAAGGAAUGAUAAUUGAGCGGAUUGGAGACGGGAAUCACUUCCCCGUUCUUACCCUACAAGAGUUUAAAAUUGAAACAAGGAUUUUGCUGUUAGAAAGUGGAGCGGAACGAAACGAGUUUAUUAAAAAAUAAAUUUCAAG
This 202-nucleotide unclassified non-coding RNA is filed under the name Hevea brasiliensis (rubber tree). Lineage: Eukaryota; Viridiplantae; Streptophyta; Magnoliopsida; Malpighiales; Euphorbiaceae. The record is from RNAcentral.